This 253-nucleotide ribosomal RNA is filed under the name uncultured bacterium. Its description in RNAcentral is "partial 16S ribosomal RNA". It matches the Rfam family "Bacterial small subunit ribosomal RNA", at positions 524 to 776 of the family's 1533-position model. The record is from RNAcentral.
UACGUAGGGUGCGAGCGUUGUCCGGAAUUACUGGGCGUAAAGAGCUCGUAGGUGGUUUGUCGCGUUGUUCGUGAAAACCGGGGGCUUAACCCUCGGCGUGCGGGCGAUACGGGCAGACUUGAGUACUGCAGGGGAGACUGGAAUUCCUGGUGUAGCGGUGAAAUGCGUAGAUAUCAGGAGGAACACCGGUGGCGAAGGCGGCUCUCUGGACGGUGACUGACGCUGAGGCGCGAAAGCGUGGGUAGCAAACAGG